UUGGUUAAGUUAGAAAGGGCGCACGGUGGAUGCCUUGGCACUAGGAGCCGAAGAAGGACGGGACUAACACCGAUAUGCUUUGGGGAGCUGUACGUAAGCGUUGAUCCAGAGAUUUCCGAAUGGGGGAACCCACUAUCUUUAGUCGGAUAGUAUCCUUACGUGAAUACAUAGCGUGAGGAAGGCAGACCCAGGGAACUGAAACAUCUAAGUACCUGGAGGAAGAGAAAGAAAAAUCGAUUUCCUGAGUAGCGGCGAGCGAAACGGAAAGAGCCCAAACCAAGAAGCUUGCUUCUUGGGGUUGUAGGACACUCUAUACGGAGUUACAAAAGAAAGUUAUAAAUGAAGCGGUCUGGAAAGGCCCGCCAAAGACGGUAACAGCCCGGUAGUUGAAAUGGCUUUCCCUCCAGAGUGGAUCCUGAGUACGGCGGAACACGUGAAAUUCCGUCGGAAUCCGGGAGGACCAUCUCCCAAGGCUAAAUACUCCCUAGUGACCGAUAGUGAACCAGUACCGUGAGGGAAAGGUGAAAAGCACCCCGGAAGGGGAGUGAAACAGUUCCUGAAACCGUGUGCCUACAAGUAGUUAGAGCCCGUUAAUGGGUGAUAGCGUGCCUUUUGUAGAAUGAACCGGCGAGUUACGAUUUGUUGCAAGGUUAAGCGGAAAAAGCGGAGCCGUAGCGAAAGCGAGUCUGAAUAGGGCGCAUAAGUAACAGGUCGUAGACCCGAAACCAGGUGAUCUACCCAUGUCCAGGAUGAAGGUAAGGUAAUACUUACUGGAGGUCCGAACCCACGCACGUUGAAAAGUGCGGGGAUGAGGUGUGGGUAGCGGAGAAAUUCCAAUCGAACUUGGAGAUAGCUGGUUCUCUCCGAAAUAGCUUUAGGGCUAGCCUCGAGGUAAAGAGUCAUGGAGGUAGAGCACUGUUUGGACUAGGGGCCCUUCUCGGGUUACCGAAUUCAGAUAAACUCCGAAUGCCAUGUACUUAUACUCGGGAGUCAGACUGCGAGUGAUAAGAUCCGUAGUCGAAAGGGAAACAGCCCAGACCACCAGUUAAGGUCCCCAAAUAUAUGUUAAGUGGAAAAGGAUGUGGGGUUGCUUAG
This 1095-nucleotide ribosomal RNA is filed under the name Listeria monocytogenes. RNAcentral's name for it is "partial 23S ribosomal RNA". It matches the Rfam family "Bacterial large subunit ribosomal RNA", at positions 1 to 1088 of the family's 2925-position model. Lineage: Bacteria; Bacillati; Bacillota; Bacilli; Caryophanales; Listeriaceae. The record is from RNAcentral.